This 336-nucleotide unclassified non-coding RNA is filed under the name soil metagenome. Its description in RNAcentral is "partial contains 5.8S ribosomal RNA, internal transcribed spacer 2, and large subunit ribosomal RNA". The stretch from base 1 to 120 matches the Rfam family "5.8S ribosomal RNA", at positions 35 to 154 of the family's 154-position model. The record is from RNAcentral.
GAUGAAGAACGUAGCGAAAUGCGAUAAGUAAUGUGAAUUGCAGAAUUCAGUGAAUCAUCGAAUCUUUGAACGCACAUUGCGCCCGCCAGUAUUCUGGCGGGCAUGCCUGUUCGAGCGUCAUUUCAACCAUCAAGCCCCAGGCUUGUGUUGGGGACCUGCGGCUGCCGCAGGCCCUGAAAACCAGUGGCGGGCUCGCUGUCACACCGGGCUUAGUAGAUUUUAUCUCGCUCUGGGCGUGCUGCGGGUUCCGGCCGUUAAAAAACCCUUUUAACCCGAGGUUGACCUCGGAUCAGGUAGGAAUACCCGCUGAACUUAAGCAUAUCAAUAAGCGGAGGA